RNAcentral lists this ribosomal RNA (187 nucleotides) under Pseudomonas aeruginosa. RNAcentral describes it as "partial 23S ribosomal RNA". It matches the Rfam family "Bacterial large subunit ribosomal RNA", at positions 1 to 188 of the family's 2925-position model. Lineage: Bacteria; Pseudomonadati; Pseudomonadota; Gammaproteobacteria; Pseudomonadales; Pseudomonadaceae. The record is from RNAcentral.
GGUUAAGCGACUAAGCGUACACGGUGGAUGCCCUGGCAGUCAGAGGCGAUGAAGGACGUGCUAAUCUGCGAAAAGCGUCGGUAAGGUGAUAUGAACCGUUAUAACCGGCGAUGUCCGAAUGGGGAAACCCAGUGUGAUUCGUCACACUAUCGUUAACUGAAUACAUAGGUUAACGAGGCGAACCGGA